UUCCGGUUGAUCCCGCCGGAGGUCACUGCUAUCGGGGUUCGAUUAAGCCAUGCGAGUCGAGAGGGUUCGGCCCUCGGCGUACUGCUCAGUAACACGUGGAUAACCUGCCCUAAGGAAGGGGAUAACCCCGGGAAACUGGGGAUAAUACCCUAUAGGUUACAGAUGCUGGAAUGCUCUGUAACCGAAAGCUCCGGCGCCUUAGGAUGGAUCUGCGGCCGAUUAGGUUGUUGUCGGGGUAACGGCCCAACAAGCCAGUAAUCGGUACGGGUUGUGGGAGCAAGAGCCCGGAGUUGGAUUCUGAGACACGAAUCCAGGCCCUACGGGGCGCAGCAGGCGCGAAAACUUUACAAUGCGGGCAACCGUGAUAAGGGAACCUCGAGUGCCUGUAUAUGCAGGCUGUCUGGGUGUCUAAAACACACCUAAAGAAAGGGCCGGGCAAGACCGGUGCCAGCCGCCGCGGUAAUACCGGCGGCUCGAGUGGUGGCCACUUUUAUUGGGCUUAAAGCGUUCGUAGCUGGGUUAUUAAGUCCCUUGGGAAAUCCGACGGCUUAACCGUCGGGCGUCUAAGGGAUACUGGCAAUCUUGGAACCGGGAGAGGUGAGGGGUACUUCGGGGGUAGGAGUGAAAUCCUGUAAUCCUCGAGGGACCACCUGUGGCGAAGGCGCCUCACCAGAACGGCUUCGACAGUGAGGGACGAAAGCUGGGGGAGCAAACCGGAUUAGAUACCCGGGUAGUCCCAGCCGUAAACGAUGUGCGUUAGGUGUAUCGGUGACCACGAGUCACCGAGGUGCCGAAAGGGAAACCGUGAAACGUACCGCCUGGGAAGUACGGUCGCAAGGCUGAAACUUAAAAGGAAUUGGCGGGGGAGCAC
Molecule: ribosomal RNA, 871 nt
Filed under: uncultured archaeon
Lineage: Archaea
Description: bacterial SSU rRNA
Rfam family: Archaeal small subunit ribosomal RNA
Source: RNAcentral